This 628-nucleotide long non-coding RNA is filed under the name Capsella grandiflora. Its description in RNAcentral is "long non-coding RNA (CGRA_LNC001243)". The record is from RNAcentral. Lineage: Eukaryota; Viridiplantae; Streptophyta; Magnoliopsida; Brassicales; Brassicaceae.
AGUUAAGUACUCUUCCCUAGCUCAUCCAUUUAAACUUAUAUGUUCUCUGGCAGAAAGAUUUCCUCGUUAGAGUUAGUCAUUAGGGUUUAGAGGUUGAUGCUCUAACAUAUCUUAUAUUCCUUUCUUGCUAAUGUUUCAAGUGCCUACUUAAUCUGAUCUCAACUGAAGAGCUUUUCUUUCAGGUUUUCUAAAGAAUUUAUCUCUUUUUAAAAAACUUAAAUGUAAAUAUGUAAUAUGUUUUUAAUUCUUACCUUUAUGCUUACUGUUAUGAGUUUCUAUAGUGUCAAAGUAUCUUAGCGAGUUUGUUAGAGAAUUAUUAGUGAGUUUGUUUAUUUGAGGUUCGCCAAUCAGUCUGAUGAAGUUUUAGCAAUUUUUUUGUAACAAGUCCCUUUAUAAUAUGCCUUUUCUCUGAAUUUCGUAUAGCUUUCUACGUUUACUUCCACUUUCCUUAUAUGUUGCCUUUGUCUUUUUUUUUUUUUUUGUUUGCGUGCUAAGUAUUGCCUUUGUCUGUAGCUGAACAUCUUUGUAAGAAAUUUAAUUAGCUUUGUAAAACGACGCUUUGUGAUGAUUUGAUGGAGUAUUUACAUCAUUCUCCAGUUAUUGAUCAGCAAAUGUGGUCCAUUUUUCA